Arachis ipaensis is the source of this 320-nucleotide non-coding RNA. The record is from RefSeq and is a predicted model, not a curated record. Lineage: Eukaryota; Viridiplantae; Streptophyta; Magnoliopsida; Fabales; Fabaceae.
GCUCAUCCUCCACCGUGCGCCACCAGUAGCCGCCUCUGGGUCGACACUGUUCUGCCUCCAUUCUCCCUCCUCUUGCCAUUUUCUGUUUCUGCUUCUUCUGCAGGAAAACUAUGUUGAAGGGGAAAUCGAACUUCAUUAAGGUCAAACUUUUAAGAGCAAAUGUUACAGAGUAAAAGUCAUGAACUUGUGGAUCGGACAUGAUGAUAAAUCUAUUUGCUACAUAGCUAGUUCAACUCUUCUUUGUUAUAUUUUUUGCAACAUUAGAUGAUAUAGUUCGAGGUUGUCAUGAUAGUAUAUAUAUUGUGGUAUUUUGAAUGUGA